Molecule: transfer RNA, 72 nt
Filed under: Sphingobacteriales bacterium
Lineage: Bacteria; Pseudomonadati; Bacteroidota; Sphingobacteriia; Sphingobacteriales
Also listed under: 1 other name
Description: tRNA-Asn
Rfam family: tRNA
About the family: Transfer RNA (tRNA) molecules are approximately 80 nucleotides in length. Their secondary structure includes four short double-helical elements and three loops (D, anti-codon, and T loops).
Source: RNAcentral
GUCUCGGUAGCUCAAUGGUAGAGCGAGCGACUGUUAAUCGCGAGGUUGUUGGUUCGAGUCCAAUUCGGGACG